CGCUUCUUUUUCACCGGAGCUUGCUCCACCGGAAAAAGAAGAGUGGCGAACGGGUGAGUAACACGUGGGUAACCUGCCCAUCAGAAGGGGAUAACACUUGGAAACAGGUGCUAAUACCGUAUAACAAUCGAAACCGCAUGGUUUUGAUUUGAAAGGCGCUUUCGGGUGUCGCUGAUGGAUGGACCCGCGGUGCAUUAGCUAGUUGGUGAGGUAACGGCUCACCAAGGCUACGAUGCAUAGCCGACCUGAGAGGGUGAUCGGCCACAUUGGGACUGAGACACGGCCCAAACUCCUACGGGAGGCAGCAGUAGGGAAUCUUCGGCAAUGGACGAAAGUCUGACCGAGCAACGCCGCGUGAGUGAAGAAGGUUUUCGGAUCGUAAAACUCUGUUGUUAGAGAAGAACAAGGAUGAGAGUAACUGUUCAUCCCUUGACGGUAUCUAACCAGAAAGCCACGGCUAACUACGUGCCAGCAGCCGCGGUAAUACGUAGGUGGCAAGCGUUGUCCGGAUUUAUUGGGCGUAAAGCGAGCGCAGGCGGUUUCUUAAGUCUGAUGUGAAAGCCCCCGGCUCAACCGGGGAGGGUCAUUGGAAACUGGGAGACUUGAGUGCAGAAGAGGAGAGUGGAAUUCCAUGUGUAGCGGUGAAAUGCGUAGAUAUAUGGAGGAACACCAGUGGCGAAGGCGGCUCUCUGGUCUGUAACUGACGCUGAGGCUCGAAAGCGUGGGGAGCAAACAGGAUUAGAUACCCUGGUAGUCCACGCCGUAAACGAUGAGUGCUAAGUGUUGGAGGGUUUCCGCCCUUCAGUGCUGCAGCUAACGCAUUAAGCACUCCGCCUGGGGAGUACGACCGCAAGGUUGAAACUCAAAGGAAUUGACGGGGGCCCGCACAAGCGGUGGAGCAUGUGGUUUAAUUCGAAGCAACGCGAAGAACCUUACCAGGUCUUGACAUCCUUUGACCACUCUAGAGAUAGAGCUUCCCCUUCGGGGGCAAAGUGACAGGUGGUGCAUGGUUGUCGUCAGCUCGUGUCGUGAGAUGUUGGGUUAAGUCCCGCAACGAGCGCAACCCUUAUUGUUAGUUGCCAUCAUUCAGUUGGGCACUCUAGCAAGACUGCCGGUGACAAACCGGAGGAAGGUGGGGAUGACGUCAAAUCAUCAUGCCCCUUAUGACCUGGGCUACACACGUGCUACAAUGGGAAGUACAACGAGUCGCGAAGUCGCGAGGCUAAGCUAAUCUCUUAAAGCUUCUCUCAGUUCGGAUUGUAGGCUGCAACUCGCCUACAUGAAGCCGGAAUCGCUAGUAAUCGCGGAUCAGCACGCCGCGGUGAAUACGUUCCCGGGCCUUGUACACACCGCCCGUCACACCACGAGAGUUUGUAACACCCGAAGUCGGUGAG
Molecule: ribosomal RNA, 1394 nt
Filed under: Enterococcus durans
Lineage: Bacteria; Bacillati; Bacillota; Bacilli; Lactobacillales; Enterococcaceae
Description: bacterial SSU rRNA
Rfam family: Bacterial small subunit ribosomal RNA
Source: RNAcentral